Vombatus ursinus (common wombat) is the source of this 643-nucleotide long non-coding RNA. RefSeq lists it as uncharacterized. NCBI's taxonomy places the organism in Eukaryota, Metazoa, Chordata, Mammalia, Diprotodontia, Vombatidae. The record is from RefSeq and is a predicted model, not a curated record. The transcript is spliced from 3 exons.
UGGGAUGGCAUGUUUUUUAUCCCUGAUUUCACUGCUAAAGGAUGAUACUCGAUUUUUCCAGGUGAAUGAGUAUCUGAGACAGAAACAGAAUUGAUUAUGCAACAUCGUGAGCUUCAAAAGAUUAGAGGACAGCAGAAUUUCAGCUGCUGGAGUCCAAACAAGAGUCUUCCAGUAACCUCAGCAGUGAAACCUAGUGAAAAGCCAACUCUGAGGAGAGAAAUACUUGACCUCACCCAGCAGCAAACUGACCUGAUAGCCAAGUCAAGAGCCUUGCAAGAAAGGGAACAGCUUGACUAUACAACAGUCACACCCAGAAGUGAACUUGGGUGGCAAAAGAGUAGUAAUCAUUAUUUGAAUUCCAUUCUCCCCAGAGACUAAAAUAGUGGAGUAUAGUGGACUCCAAUUUUCUGAGACGGGUUGUGCUUUCUCAGUAAAUAUCACUUUGUAAAAGCUAAUUGACAUUAAGUGGCUAUUGAUGAUAUUGAGAAGAUAGUAAAUGCUGAUUGAAUUUAGGAGGAUAAACGUCAUGAACAAAAGUACUAGAGAAACCCCAAACCCCUAAAGAUUCCAGGAAUAGUAGUCUUGUUCUGGAGUCACUUGCCAGUGCAAGUGAGAGGCGAGAUACCUCAAAGACUAUGUGAGA